AGGGCUCCCCCUGCAGCCGCCAGCACACAGGUAGCAAUUAUGUGUGUCAGUGUGAGUGUAUGUGUGUGUGUCUGUGUCAUGGUGUGUGUCUAUCUGUGUCAUUGUGUGUGUGUCUCUGUCUGUCAUGGUGUGUGUGUCUGUGUCAUUGUGUGUGUGUGUCUCUGUCUGUCAUGGUGUGUCUGUCGGUGUGUGUCUCUGUCUGUGUCAUGGUGUUUGUGUG
Non-coding RNA from Pelobates cultripes (western spadefoot toad), 220 nucleotides. The record is from the annotation of a GenBank genome assembly. NCBI's taxonomy places the organism in Eukaryota, Metazoa, Chordata, Amphibia, Anura, Pelobatidae.